UGUGCGCUUGUGCUGUGGUUGUUGGGAAAAAAAGGUUUUUGUUGUAAGAUUUUAUAGUAGAUAUCAAAGAAAUUUCUAGUAUUGUAAAAUGUUCUUAGAGUUUAUUGCAAUAAUCAGUCUUUGUAAUAAAAUGAAUGUGUUGUAUAGAAAACUGCUAAUAGUUCAGGUAUACCGAAAAAAGUUGUUGAUUAUUUGAUACAUAGUUGAUCUGAUUAGACUUCAGGUUGUGCUUUUGUUACACAAUAAAACAUUAUAAAAUCAAAGUUCGAGUGUCUUUAUUCUUCAAAUGCUUGUGUUUUGUCUUGGAAAUGUCUAAUUGUGGUCUUGUCAGGGUUUGUCUUGUCCUUGUCUGGUUUUGUCUUCCCCCUCUCAGCUUGCACCUGCCGUGGUGAGUGGGCUUUAAACUAAGACAGGCCUUUAUUGUGUGUGUGUAUUUGGAGUAAUAGUAUUGGUAGUAAGUGAAUAAUUGCUCACAAAAUGCUAUAGAAUAAUACAUUCGGAAUUACAUUAACCUAUCCAUGCAGAAGGGGUAAUUAAAUACGUGUUAAGUUAUGUGAAGUUAAUACAAUCACAAUUGAAAAUGAGCGGUGCUUGUUCUAGCGACUGUUCUGAUAGAGCUGAUGUGAACAGGAGUAAAGCUAGAGCGAGCCUUUGUGAUGGACUAUAAUUUUGCCACACUAAGGCAGUUUAAGCAGCAUUUGCUUUAACCUAGCAAGCAUCUUCAUUCCUGAGACAACACAAAUGUGCAUAGUGUUCUCGUACACAGUAGUGACUUCAGAAAAAAAAACUCGAUUUUUCUGGGCUUUGGAAAAGUUUUACAAUGAUUAAACCCCCAUCACUUAAAAGCAUACAAUAAAAAGAGUAAUAAUUGACCAUGUUUAUAGCUGCAGGUGUCCUGUCAACAGUUUUACAGACGUCUCUUUUACGAUGGUGGUCUAUGGGGACGAUGCUUUUUGGGCUGCAUGGGUAUUUUUCGCUGCAAUACCAUGAGUGGUCACUGGGAAAAACUGGCUGCAAGACUGAGCAAAGUCAUUGUCAUCUACAUCACCACCUCAAUCUUCUACAACUACUACCACAUUCACCACCUCCUCCAGAUAGUCCAUCAUAACUGGCGUUCCCAAAAAGGACACAUUGCAGGCUGAGACAUUGUGGUUUACACAGCCUGCAGUGUGUGUGUGUGUGUGUGUGUGUGUGUGUGUGUGUGUGUGUCCCUCUCCCCUUCCUUGUGUCUGUGCUUCAUUACAGGAGUGGAGACAGGUGUGCCGGAGUCAGGCAACCAGCUGCCAUCCAUCAUUAGUCCUGCAUGAAUAUCUGGUUCAGCCUCCAUCUCAUCGCCAGAUCGUAGACUCUGAUACCACAUUUUGCCUCCUCCUGACUCUGGCCCCUGUCUCCAGCCCUUCUGCCUCGUCGGCGCAGCACAACACCCUGCUCAUGGGGGAAUCCCUCUGCCUGGCUCCCCUCAGCAUCCCUUCUGCCUAGCUUCACGCCAAAGUCUCAGCCCCCGGUUCCAGCUCCUGCUCAAGCCCUUACCCCAGCCUCCCAGCUACCACCUUGCAACAAACAAUCUCCCAAAACUACUCACUGCCUCAGUUUUCUGCACUUGGGUCCACUAGCCUAGCCCCAUAACAUAUGUCAUGUGGUUGCUACAAAAUAAGAAGAAUCAAGAAAAGAGAAAUGUUGUCUAUGAUAAAGAAGAAGCCAACCAAACAAACAGACAAAGGAUAAUGUGCUUAUUGUUUGUCAUCAGCUAAACAAGGUGUGCAAAAGUCUGGGGAUUGAGCUCAGCUUUUGUGCACUGUUUCAUCCACAGACAAAUGGGCUUGUUGAAAAACUAGAUGGAACAAUACAGAGGUAACAGCCCUGUAAUUAUAUAUAAUCAUAUCAUAUAUAUUUAUGAUAUUGUGAACUGAAAAUGUAUUUGAAGCAAAGCAGCCUACAUAUUUAUGUGAUAAUACUUUUCAGGGUACUGUGCAAACUUGUAAACCAGUGUCCAGAGAGCUGAGAUAUGUAUCUGGACACCUUGAUGUUUGGACUGAGGACCAAAAAUCACAUCGCAUCACUAUUAAAUUCUCCCCAUUCUUCCUCCUGUUUGGGACAGAGGUCUGCCUCCUUAGUGAGGUUCUGGAGCAAUACAAGGCUGGGUUAGUGUAGAACAUCUACAAUUAAUCCAUAGUUUGAAAAACAAAUUGAAAAAAUAUACCUCAUUGAGAAUCAGUGUCAAUGUUUAUUAUAUGCUAUGCAAUAAAUAUUUUCAUAGAUGGGUUGGGGACAGUAUACUUUUCAGUAUUUACUUUCUGCCAACAUUUUUAUUCAAGGUUGUAAUCACUACUGAAUGACUAUGCUAACAAAAAUAUAAUUUUUGCCAUUACUGUUAUAGUGAUCAGGAGUGCUUUGAGAUUGUACAGUUAGUCAACAUAGAGAUAAGUUUGUCUCAUUCCCACAAACUUUAAAAAUUAAAGUUCUAUUUUACAGAAUGACAUCAGCAUGACCAAGAGAUGGUGUUGGAGGUCAUUAAAAGGCAGGAUUCCAUUUUCACUUGUGUGUGAAAAUAUAACUGCAGCUCAAAGCAAUACAAGAUGCCCAAAUCUGAGAAACAGGCAUGUUUUCAUGUAGGAGACAAGGUGCUUCGGAAAAAUAUUCGAAGCCAACAAAGAAAGGUUGGGAAGCUGGAGAGAAACUGCACUGGUCCCUUUACAAUAUUUGCCAUAGAAGAGCUCAGACCUAAACCUAGAGUCGAUGACCUCUGAAUUUUCAAAGCCCUGAAUACCCCAUAGAAUUAAAUCCCAAAAAGGACAAUUAACAGUUACACCAACAGCCCUGGCCCUAACACCACCAUCAGUCACGUCGCUGAUUGCUGGGUUAUUCAAAGUUUAAUAAUAUUAAAUGUUUGUGCACCAAAUUCGACACUGCUCUCCCUUGGGUCCCCAGCCAUACACCUGCCAAGUGUAGAGUCGAUUGGAAGAAGGGUUCAAGACAUACGCAAAAGGACUUACAUACAGACAUAUUCCUUCCUUUGGUAGAGAGGUGUGAAGGAUGCCUGGGAUGGUCUAAAGGCCAAUGUUCUGCUGUCAAAAAUUGGGCCGUACAAGGUCUUUUAUAGGGACGCUGGCCAAACAGGGCCUGGAUUGGAGCUUGAGUGAGAGGUAAAAAUUUGUUUUUUGU
Long non-coding RNA from Thunnus maccoyii (southern bluefin tuna), 3162 nucleotides. RefSeq lists it as uncharacterized. NCBI's taxonomy places the organism in Eukaryota, Metazoa, Chordata, Actinopteri, Scombriformes, Scombridae. The record is from RefSeq and is a predicted model, not a curated record. The transcript has 3 exons.